RNAcentral lists this ribosomal RNA (494 nucleotides) under uncultured bacterium. RNAcentral describes it as "partial 16S ribosomal RNA". It matches the Rfam family "Bacterial small subunit ribosomal RNA", at positions 28 to 507 of the family's 1533-position model. The record is from RNAcentral.
GACGAACGCUGGCGGCGUGCUUAACACAUGCAAGUCGAACGGAAAGGCCUGCUUUCCCUUGUGGAUUGCGGGUACUCGAGUGGCGAACGGGUGAGUAACACGUGAGUGAUCUGCCCCCAACUUGGGUAUAAGCCUGGGAAACUGGGUCUAAUUCCCGAUAGGACUGCAGGGUGGUGCCUGUGGUGGAAAACGAUUUUCUAGUGGUUGGGGAUGAGCUCGCGGCCUAUCAGCUUGUUGGUGGGGUAAUGGCCUACCAAGGCGGCGACGGGGAGCCGGCCUGGGAGGGUGGACGGCCACAUUGGGACUGAGAUACGGCCCAGACUCCUACGGGAGGCAGCAGUGGGGAAUAUUGCACAAUGGGCGGAAGCCUGAUGCAGCGACGCCGCGUGGGGGAUGACGGCCUUCGGGUUGUAAACUCCUUUCGACCGCGAGGAAGCCACCUGGUUGGAAGGGUGGUGACGGUAGUGGUAGAAGAAGCACCGGCUAACUACGUG